This is a long non-coding RNA of Labrus mixtus (cuckoo wrasse), 1230 nucleotides long. RefSeq lists it as uncharacterized. NCBI's taxonomy places the organism in Eukaryota, Metazoa, Chordata, Actinopteri, Labriformes, Labridae. The transcript is spliced from 3 exons. The record is from RefSeq and is a predicted model, not a curated record.
GAGAGAAAUUGUUGAGUUUUUAGACUCUAAUGACUUUAAUAGUUGUGGUAUAGAAGGAUUAUUCUUUUUAGUCCAAAGAAACACAACCACAAGCCAUAAAUACUUCUUCAAGUCCUGCACUAUUUACUGUACCAUAAUUGUAUUAACAGCUGUUCUGCCAAGAUAUAGAAUAAAUUAACACAUUUUUUCUUAGAUAACAAAGGUCAUUUACUUGUAAACUCAAGAUAAGAGGAUUGCUAAUUGUAACAUUGGCCUCUAUACUCUUACCCUCUGGCAUUAAAUAUAAAUAAAUACGUAAAUAAAAAUAUUGAGCCCACUGAGCAAAUACAUCAAAGACAAUACUAUUAAUUUAAAAAUAGGUAAUUCCUAUUUUUUUUUUAAUGGCUACUAUUUUAUAACAUAUUAAACAAUAUAUUGUAUGUAGGAAUCCCAUAUAGUUUCAAACAUUUUUUGGACAUAUAAAAUGGCUUAUAUUAUUAGGAAUAGUUAAUACUAUCAGAAACACAUAUGUAGCAAGUGUAUAGUCUAUCCUAGGUGAAUAUCCACGACCUGCUGCACAUGACACAUUUUUUUGCUGGCAAAUAAAUCAAACGCACCCUAUGAAAAAUGGCGGGUUCUUUAAGCUGACCACACACACAGCUCUGUAUUAGGCCUGCUACUGCUGCUCUACCUCUACAACACUGCACACUCUGCUAGAUCUGCUGGUCGUUAAGUAGCAAUUAGCUCACCUGCGCCGGUCAUGUCUUCAGAAGGACUUUGUAGAGGAGUAUUCGUGUUUGUUCUGCUCUUCAUUUCGAGGUUCUUCAUCCGUCUACUGUAGCACGAAGUUGAAGCUGGAGGUGAGUUCACCUGUUCUGCUGCUGUGAAGGCGUUGCUAAGAGACGGAGAGAAGCUGAUUCAUUCAACAAGCUAGGCAGAGGUCUAUUAACCUUCCACACUAAUGGGCAAUUUUACACCGGGUGCCCAUGCCCAAGGGCCGAGGAGGGGUUGGUGGAGGAGAGCCACAUACUGCGGUGUGCGGAGCCUGUGGACACCAGUUGUUGACAAAGCAGCUGAACAUUGUCUUCAAGAGAUGCAACACUCCAUCCAUCACCUGCCACACAUUUUCAAUUUCACAUUCUCUCUGUGAUGAAUGGGUGUCUGCAGUUCCAGAGGUGGUGGGAACUGUCGAUACUGUGAUAAAAGCUUUGGGAAAACUAAACAACACCUCCAUGCCUGUGUGCACCUGAA